AACGUCUUCCUUCUUUAUGUUUGACCUCAAAUCAGGUAGGACUACCCGCUGAACUUAAGCAUAUCAAUAACG
Molecule: ribosomal RNA, 72 nt
Filed under: Chroogomphus confusus
Lineage: Eukaryota; Fungi; Basidiomycota; Agaricomycetes; Boletales; Gomphidiaceae
Description: partial 28S ribosomal RNA
Source: RNAcentral